Molecule: ribosomal RNA, 794 nt
Filed under: uncultured Pelagibacteraceae bacterium
Lineage: Bacteria; Pseudomonadati; Pseudomonadota; Alphaproteobacteria; Candidatus Pelagibacterales; Candidatus Pelagibacteraceae
Description: bacterial SSU rRNA
Rfam family: Bacterial small subunit ribosomal RNA
Source: RNAcentral
CGCCUAACACAUGCAAGUCGAACGAAGUAGCAAUACUUAGUGGCAGACGGGUGAGUAACAUGUAGGUAUCUUCCCUUUGGCCUGGAAUAACACGAGGAAACUUGUGCUAAUACCGGAUAAGUCUUUACGGAGAAAGCUUUAUGCACCAUUGGAUGAGCCUGCACUUGAUUAGUUUGUUGGUAGGGUAAUGGCCUACCAAGACUGUGAUCAAUAGCUGAUUUGAGAGGAUGAUCAGCCACAUUGGGACUGAGACACGGCCCAAACUCCUACGGGAGGCAGCAGUGGGGAAUCUUGCACAAUGGAGGAAACUCUGAUGCAGCGAUGCCGCGUGAGUGAAGAAGGCCUUUGGGUUGUAAAGCUCUUUCGUCGGGGAAGAAAAUGACUGUACCCGAAUAAGAAGGUCCGGCUAACUUCGUGCCAGCAGCCGCGGUAAUACGAAGGGACCUAGCGUAGUUCGGAAUUACUGGGCUUAAAGAGUUCGUAGGUGGUUGAAAAAGUUGGUGGUGAAAUCCCAGAGCUUAACUCUGGAACUGCCAUCAAAACUUUUCAGCUAGAGUAUGAUAGAGGAAAGCAGAAUUUCUAGUGUAGAGGUGAAAUUCGUAGAUAUUAGAAAGAAUACCAAUUGCGAAGGCAGCUUUCUGGAUCAUUACUGACACUGAGGAACGAAAGCAUGGGUAGCGAAGAGGAUUAGAUACCCUCGUAGUCCAUGCCGUAAACGAUGUGUGUUAGACGUUGGAAAUUUAUUUUCAGUGUCGCAGUGAAAGCGAUAAACACACCGCCUGGGGAGUACGACC